GUCUGCGGCCAUGCCACCCUGAACAAGCCUGAUCCCAUCUGAUCUCGGAAGCUAAGCAGGGUCAGGCCUGGUUAAUGCUUGGAUGGGAGACCAUCUAGGAAGACCAGGUGCUAUAGGCA
This 119-nucleotide ribosomal RNA is filed under the name Pteropus alecto (black flying fox). Lineage: Eukaryota; Metazoa; Chordata; Mammalia; Chiroptera; Pteropodidae. The record is from RNAcentral.